This 343-nucleotide long non-coding RNA is filed under the name Solanum lycopersicum (tomato). RNAcentral describes it as "partial TCONS_00189117". Lineage: Eukaryota; Viridiplantae; Streptophyta; Magnoliopsida; Solanales; Solanaceae. The record is from RNAcentral.
CCAUUGUAUUGGAAAUUACGUGCGUUGUUUGGCAUUCCGUAGUUAUUGGGAGGCACUCCACCCAUGUUUGGUGGCAUAUUCGGCUGCUGCAUCCCACCUCCACGGGGUGGCCCUCUCAUGUCCGGCUGCUGCAUCCCGCCUGCAUGAGGUGGUGGCCCUCCAUAGCCUUGCUGCUGGUGCAUCCCGCCUGCAUGAGGUGGUGGCCCUCCCAUGCCUUGCUGCUGGUGCAUUCCACCCAUGUUAGGUUGCUGCAUGCCGCCCAUGUUGGGAGGCCCCCCUGCUGCCAUGUUAGAUCCAGGGUUCUGACUGGGUUGAUUCUGCAUCUCUCUUCUUCUCUCAAAGU